RNAcentral lists this ribosomal RNA (606 nucleotides) under Micronychus sp. UPOL MT0034. RNAcentral's name for it is "partial 16S ribosomal RNA". The stretch from base 380 to 538 matches the Rfam family "Bacterial large subunit ribosomal RNA", at positions 2473 to 2632 of the family's 2925-position model. Lineage: Eukaryota; Metazoa; Arthropoda; Insecta; Coleoptera; Lycidae. The record is from RNAcentral.
CAUGUCCUUUAGAAUUUAAUUUAAGGUUUGGUCUGCUCAAUGAAAAUUUUAAAUUGCCGCAGUAUUUUAACUGUGCGAAGGUAGCAUAAUAAUUAGUUUCUUAGUUGGAAGCUGGAAUGAAUGAUUGGACGAGAAAAUAACUGUCUCUUGAGGAGGGUUUAUUUAAUUUUAUUAUUAAGUUAAAAAGCUUAAAUAUUGAUAAAAGACGAGAAGACCCUAUAGAGUUUAAUAUUUAAGGUUUAUUAAUUUUUGGUAAAUUUCUUGAAUCUUAAUUAUUUAGUUGGGGUGACUUAAAGAUUGAAUUAAUUCUUUAAAUAUUUAAUUAUUGAUAAGUAAUUUUUAAAUCUAGUUUUUUAAAUUUAAAAUUAAUUACCUUAGGGAUAACAGCGUAAUUUUUCUUUAAAGCUCUAAUUGAAAGAAGAUUUUGCGACCUCGAUGUUGGAUUAAAAUUAAUUUUUGGUGCAGUAACUAAAAAAUUAGGUCUGUUCGACCUUUAAAAUUUUACAUGAUCUGAGUUUAAACCGGUGUAAGCCAGGUUGGAUUCUAUCUUUAUUUUUUUUAUAUAUUUUAGUACGAAAGGACCAAAUAUGUAUUAUAUGAUAAUUG